UACGUAGGGUGCAAGCGUUGUCCGGAAUUAUUGGGCGUAAAGGGCUCGUAGGCGGUCUGUCACGUCGGGAGUGAAAACUCGGGGCUUAACCCCGAGCCUGCUUCCGAUACGGGCAGACUAGAGGUAUGCAGGGGAGAAUGGAAUUCCAGGUGUAGCGGUGAAAUGCGCAGAUAUCAGGAGGAACACCGGUGGCGAAGGCGGUUCUCUGGGCAUUACCUGACGCUGAGGAGCGAAAGUGUGGGGAGCGAACAGG
RNAcentral lists this ribosomal RNA (253 nucleotides) under uncultured bacterium. RNAcentral describes it as "partial 16S ribosomal RNA". It matches the Rfam family "Bacterial small subunit ribosomal RNA", at positions 524 to 776 of the family's 1533-position model. The record is from RNAcentral.